Molecule: long non-coding RNA, 7503 nt
Organism: Gallus gallus (chicken)
Lineage: Eukaryota; Metazoa; Chordata; Aves; Galliformes; Phasianidae
Source: Ensembl
CAGAGGACGGCGCGAGAGGCGGGAGAAGAGAAGGAAGGAGGGAGGCGAUGCGGGGGGGAUGAGAUGGGCGGCGGCGCGCGCAGGUGUGCAUGUGAGGAGCGGCUGAGGGCGAUAUGCGCAUGCGUGCGCGCCGCCGUUGCCGUCACCCAGCGCACGUGGCCGCGCACCUUCACCGUGAGAGCCGCGCUCGAAGCGCGGGCGUCUCCUUAGCGCCGCCGCUGGCCCGUGUGGAGACGCCGUCUGUGGCGGGGUGAUCACGUCGUCACGAGGGGCCGGCAGAAGUCCCGGAGGGGAAAUAUGUCUGCGUGAGUGUUUGGGACCGACGAUCCUAAGACGCAGCCGCCCCGAGCAGCCUCACUGCCUGAGGUGGCCCUGCUGGCCCGGCAUCGGCAUCUCCUGUACUGCCUGAGGGGUGGCCCUCGGACAUGGCGGCCGCUGCCUCUGCACUGCCACCUCUAGCUGGAAUAUGACUCACAGCAGUUCAGACGUUACGUUCCGAGGGCACAGAGGCCCUGUCAGUCACAUCCAGCCCACUCCGUUGGAGUGGGAGCACAGCCCUAGAAGGUCACUGAGCCCCAGCGUCUGCCAGCACACCUGCCACUGCAACCAGGGCAAGCGGCCUUUAAAUAACCCUUUUUGUCCCUUUCCACCUGUUGUGGAAGAGCUCAGUGCAGCCUCAUAGCUACAGUGAGCCCUGUUUUGCUCUUAAAGUAACAGCUGAGCCACUCUUUUCUACCAAAAAUGCUGCAUAUCACUCGCAAGUGAAUAUCAUGAUGCAGAUCAAGCUAAGAAACAGACACAGCUUUGAUGAAGUAGAAACUUGCCCUUUGUGGUUUGCUUUCCAGUCACACAACAUUCUCACAUUCUCUCUGCCUCCCUUUCCUUUCCUUGGCCGCCUCCUCAAGUUGCCCUUCCAAUGCACUUAGCCAACAAGGCCUGGAUCAGCUCCUGCCUCCUCAGAGGCACCACUAUAGUAUCCCACUUCCCGUUCACACCUUUUGCUUCCAAAUCCCAAGGUUUUUUUCCUUUGUGUUCCUUGCUGUCACUUCCUGCCAGCUACGUCUGCUCCCACUGCCACCCACAACUGCUGUGGCACAACCACAGUUUGCACUGUGCUUCCCCAUGCAAACAGGAGAGGAGCUGCCACCUGUGCUAGACAAAGCAACAAAGCAUCACAACUUAAUGCAAGAUGAUCAACUUCUCCCCUCGAGGGUGGUCUCAAGGCCUUCCUGAUACCCAACACAGCAACAAAGCUUCUCUUGUGCUCUGUCUGCAUCUCCCGAGAUUGAUUAAUAUGGAUGUUUUCACACUCAGACAAGGUAAGGUAAGCUCAAGUACGCAGCAUGAUUUUCUUUCUUCUGUUUUCCUUUAAUCUCUUCACUAUGCAACUGUGUAUGUUUGCUUUUUUUCCCUUUUUAUCACUGGUAAUAUACUAUUCUGUUCUAUAGAUUGGUCUUUCAAGGUCCACAAUUUGAAAAUGUAGGCUGUAUAACUGAAAGCCAGUUCUGUGAUGAUCAAAGGGACAUAUGCUUACUCCCUACUACUUCUUCCACACAUAAAGCAGUAUGUAUUCCUGAAGUAUGAUUUGUCUGUUCCACUGAUGUAUACCCUUUCACCCAAACUGACCAGUUGCUUUUACAGCCUUUUCAAAGGAGAACCUCACUUUCAGUUCAGCUGCAGUCUGACUUUUGGGUAUAAUUCAUAAAAGGUCUCCCAACAACAGGUGCUUACAUACUGCUGGGGCUUGGCUCAGUUUGACAGCAACUCAUGGAAUGAUGCUUUCUCUGCACUCCCUUCAUUGCUUUAUAGAGAUGUAAUGAAAUAAAACGAAGCCACUGAGUAAGAGUAGUUGUUGAGAAGGAAGGAUGAAAGCAGAGCACCUAGUGGCUGUUGCCACUGAAUUGAUUUACUGUUUGUUCUUGCUGCACUGUCAACAUUUAUGCUCAGGAAGAACAUGACUCAAGUAUUUGUGAAAAAGCAAGCAGCACAAUUCUCAACUCAGUCUGAAACUGUUCCUCUUUGUAAGGAUCCUAAAGCCCAUGUAGUUUCAUUAAAAAGGAAGGAAAAUGGCAUCUAGUGAUAUAGAGCCUUGUUACAUGAGUUAUCUGCUGUUACACAAGGUUUUCCAGAAAUUACAUGUGAUGCUCAGACAUAAGACUAUGCUUGAUUUCAUGAUAACACUAAAAACAAACAUCCCACUUAGAAAAACUUGUUUUUGUAAUCAAUACUUAGUCAGUCACUUUCCUUCACUUCUACCUAAUGUUUUUCAUUAUCUGUAAUUAACACCUAAGGCAGUUUCAGUCCUUGAGUAACUAUUGAGGGGUUAAAAUGUACAGUUACAAUCCUGUGAAAUAAGAGAUAUGUUAAUGCGUUUGGAGAAUAUGGUGUCCUCCUCCUCUCCCCUUCUCCUGUAUAUGUAUAUAUUAUAUCAGAUAUAAUAGACAGCUCACUCUUUUUCCUGAACGACACCAUCCAAGUAGCUCUGCUGCCUGCAUCACAAGUAGCUUUUUUCCAUUGGUAUUACAGUUUGUAUUCCUGCUCUUCUCUGAACUUCAAGUUGUAUGGUUGAAGGUACAAAACUGGACUGUCUGUGGUACCUUUCCAGCUGAGUGCCCGAGUCCUCCCGUGCUGUCAAAUAAAGGAGUUAGAUCUUCACAUCCUUCGGGGUGGCAGUGACGCUCAGAUAAGUGAAGAAAACUCGUGUUCGUUUUCCUCUGUGUAUAUGUAAACGUCUGGGGGGUGUUGGCAGCUCCUGAUAGUGAUUAAUGGCCUUACAGUUUACAUAGAGUAUAGUGGUAGUUGCUUGUUGUUCUCAAGAAUGGAAUAAACAGGGCCUAUUCAUAAAGACAGUCUCCUCUUUGAUGCAGAAGUUCAGAUCUCCCAAUGUUUCUUUCUUUAGAUAGAUAUAUUACUACAAGACAGAGACAUAAUUGGUAAUUGUGCCUAGUUUUUGUAACAUCAGCUGUACCUAUUAAACGUGGACCCUUGAUUUGGUGAGCGAAGCCAGAAAACGUGCUAAAUCCUCACAAAUACAAUGUAAUGGUGUGUGAAAAAGCGAAGAAUAAAUUUCCCACUAAGUAUUCCUGCUAUACAGAAUGGGCACACAUAAAAUCAUGCAAGUCAGCGUGAUGAAUAGCAGCUUAACGUUUUUAUAGCCCUCCAUCCAGAAGAAUCUCACAGAAAUUAUUGUAUAGAAAUAGAAAACAAGGAUCAUUUUAACACUGGGAGCCUGGUCUUCCACAGAAGCUUUGCAGGCUGACGCUCUGUAUUUGAAACAAAGAUCCCCCUGGCAGUGCAGUGCAAGACAACAUUUUUUUUUAGAGUGUAUGAAAGUUUUUAAAUGACUGAAUACACCAAGGAGUUGAAGGCUGAACAACACUUGAAGCGCACAUAAGCUCGUACUUGAUAGUAAAGUCUGACUGACAUAUCAGUGCUUACUCUAAGCAGCAGGCAGAGGCACACCGGCUGGUUUGCUGCGUGUAAUCAGUUUGACAGCCCCCAGGAAUUGCCGAGUCUCCAUGACCCUGGAAAGACAGUUUGGCACAUAUAUUAAACAAAUACCUCCCCUCCAACUGUUUAUUCAUCUCCACUAGUCACAGACCUUCCCAGCCUGCGCUCACAUUAGCACUGAGUGGUUAGAUAAUGAUGGAAGAAUCUUCCACGUGUCCUCACAGUUGUUGCAGUCAGAACCCUCAGAUGAAAAUACUGCCGGAUUAAAUACUGCCUUUGAAGCAGGAUGGUGCUUCAGUAGCAGAGACAACACAGUGAGUAAUGUCGUAUAAUUGAGUAAAUCCAAUGAUUCCGUUGGGAUUUUUUUUUCCCCUUAGUUUUUGGCUAAGUUCCCAUUAGAUGUAGUUGCUAAACUUCAUUUUUAUUCUUUCCUAAACCAACAUUUUUAACUUAGCAGAGUGCUCGCCUGUAAUCUAGGAAGAGCUGGAUGGUCAUCUGACACUUUUUCUCAUUCCCAGAUACUAGAGACAAAAAGGCAGCCUAUACAUAUACAUAUACAUAUAUAUACAUAUAAACAAUGUAAAAAUAAAAUAAAAAUUCUUAGUCAGUGAGACCUAAGACACUUCUGAACAUGAGAUGUAGGCUCUUCAGAUCUGUGAGUGCUUAUGAAUGUUUUGUUUCUUCCUUUCUCAUAAGGUGAAGGGUUGUGAGUAGUGCAGGGAGCUGAAACGAUCUGUUCCUUCCAGAAUAUAAGGGGAAAAUGCUUACUGGAAGAUUCUCUUAAAGUUACAUUUGGAAUUGUGAAAUUAAGAGUCCCUGUCCAGAGAGACGUAUCUACCUGUCCAGAUGUGCUACUGCCACUUCCAGAUGUGGAUAUCCAUCUCCUCCAGCCUGAGGAGUUCACAGCUCAAGAUGGGAUCUGGAAUAUACAAAAGACUUGUUCAGAAACAUGUAUUGGCAUGUGCCAGAGUGGUUCUUCACUAUCUGCAGUGCCCGCAGGAUACUGAGAUUUCUCUGAUGCAUUCGUACCUGCAGAUCUUCCAGCCCUUUCGUUAGGGAUACUCAAUCACUAGUUCUGCAGGACAGAAUUAGGGCCAAUCCAUUCUGUGCUGAGGCUGUGGGAGCCUUCAGCCAAGCUCAGUACGGCUAGAAUGGUUUCACAGAAAAUGUCUGAAAAACAUUAGAUUUACUUGAAACAAUCUGAUCGUUAAUCAAUACCUGUUGUAGAUGGUUUAAUGUUUGCAUUUGAGGCUCUUCUACUACAUACAAUCUUGUGGAAUGAAAGCUCUGAACAGAAGUUGUUGGACAAACUGACCACUCACAGAAGGUAUUCCUAGGUAGAACAAUCAAUCACUAACAGACACUUUCAGACUGAAAUACUGCAAUAUUAAUACUGGGAGGUACUCUGGAAUAGCUGUGCCAGCUAUGUUUUAGUGUAGAAGGACCCAAAAUAAUAAACAGAGGAAGUAGCUAUUUGCCUUUGCUUUCUGCUCUGUCCAGAGAAAGACUAAUUUCCUUGUAGCUAGGGCAGAAGGUCCAGUACUGGAUAGAGUCCUUAUAAAUAGACACUGUAGAUCUGGAUCAAAAGUACUCAAAUCAUAGAAUGGCUUGGGUUGGAAGGGAACCUCAAAGAUCGUCUAGUUCCAACCCCCUGCUGUGGGCAGGGUUGCCAACCAUUAAAUGUGUGUGAAAGCUGAAUCAAAGGUUUAGGAUAUCUAAGCAGUAGGGAUGCAGCAAUGUUGAGGAGUCACAAAACUAUACUUUCUUCUUCUGUAGGUUUUCCUUCAGAGAGCUUCAGAUAAUCAUCUCUCACUUUUCCACUCGCGGGGAAGUUAAGAAGCACACCCCUUUUCCACAAACAGAAUCCAUAAACAUUUGCUUUCCAGUACUUUAUGGCCAAUUCUCUAAACUCGUAUUUAUCACCCCCUUACUCCUAUGAAGGAAAAUUCUUGCUGAGUCCUAAACCAAGUUGAGUUCUUCCAGAUUUGGGCCCUCAGGAAGAGCCAUAAAGACCACAGUUUUACGCAGUGUAUUCCAUCCAUUGUCUUGCUACCCAGGGGCAGCAGCUUUUGUGGGAAUCACGAAGGACUUCCCUUGUUACGGAGAGCGCUAUCGAUACGUGAACUCUCAGGGGAAGUAACCUCUGUUUCUAUGCAGGAAAUAUCAGAUUAAAACAAAUACACUGAAUAUUGCUCAGUGAAGAGUGAGUAUGAUAUUUACAAUCCUGCUGCCUCCAGUUGGCGUUACUCAGACAUCCGCAGCACGUCUUGAGCUUUCUGUGGGAGUGCAGUGACAGAAGAGGUGAAACAAAAAGGAGGAGAAUGCGUAGAGAUGUCAUACACAGUUUUUGCUAUAACAAUGCAUUGUACACAUUAUUCUUUUCAUCUGAGAAUGUCAAAGCUCGUAAAAGAAUCUAGCUAAAUAUAAAAACUCUGUGAGAAAAGUAAUUCUUGUAUUGAUUAACUACAUGCCAGAGUUAUCCAGUUAUCCCUCAUUAGAGCCAGAGACAGAAUGUAGGAAUAGAGCUAGGCUUCAGCUUCAGCUACAUAAAAUGCUGCUCGAGUUGCCAACAAUGAAGAUCUGCAAGUGGAAUUUGGUUAAUUGUGUCAGUCUGUAGGAACGCUUAUUAUUUGUGGGUAUUACAAUGGCUCUGAGAGUCCUGAGAGUCCUGUAACUGCCAUCCCUUUGCGCAAGGUGCUGUCUGAACACAAAGCAAAGAGGUGGCUCUGGCUUGGAAGGAUCUGAAGUCUUUGAGGACGUUGUUUGACUCAUUUUUCUGCUAGAAGGUCCUGCUUAUACAUUCCCCCCCCCUCCCCACAUUCCUCCUCUCUUCCCCAUCGUGCUGGCCUUGGAUUGUGCCAGUGCUGGUUUUUUUGUGCAGCCUCGUGUUAAACUGAAUCGGGAACCUGAUUUCAAUUAAAAAAUAGUCCUCAGAAAAACACUUAUUUUUAACUGAGACUAAUACUCUGAUCUGUUCCCUGCUGCAGAUGCACAAAGAAUGCCACAAGAGACAAGGUCGCGUAACGGCAGUGGCACGACUGGAAAAUAAUUUCAUCUGCCUUUACAAAGAAAGCUGAGGAGGGUGUAAAACAAAGUAGAGACCGUUUCCCUCCCACCACAGCCGUACGUCUAUUAUCUGACUCACCACUUCUGGGAUUCCUUCUGGCAGUGCUGGUUUUAUUGCAAUGAAAACUCAAGCGUGUGAAAAAUAUUCCCUAUUUUCUGAGGACUGUUCUAUUCUCUGUUCACUGUUUCGUUCAGAAGUGGCUGUAGCACCAGGUGUAAGAUGAUUUUGCUGUUCCAGCUAAACUGACAACAUGCAAACUCUUUAAACGGAGAGGCUCCCAGCUGCCACCACACUUGCAGCACCACGACAGCCAGAAAUUGGGAUCCCAAGCCUUUCGAUAUGCCAUGGCUCCUGGCCCUGUGCCAGCUCUUCCUUGCCGUUCAGAAUCCGCCUGCAUGGAGUCUUCACACUCCUGUGGUGGCAGCUUGCUGCCACCUGCAACAAAGCAAGCUUUCCCUAUGCUCCUUCCACAAAGGUAUCCCAUUUUUGUCACGUUGGACUGAAGUCUCUUAUUAUCGAUGUGGGAAUAGCUAUGGGAUAUACAAUACCUGUACUGUGCAAGAAAUCCUACCUAUAAUGUUUAAAAGGGACCCCUCCUCCCAUUCUGAUUCUACAAACCCUAACAGAUCUAUGACUAAUGGAGAUGGAUUAUUUUUAUAACAUAUAAUGCAUGUAUGUGCAACAGAACUUCAGAAAUGAGCCAACAUCUUUUCUGCCAAAAUUUCAAGUAUCAUUUUCAAAGCAAACGGGAUCGCAUUUGCAGAGGGAAUUUGGGCAAGGGGUGGGGGAAGAACAAGGUCAGGAGUGGAGAAUAAUGUAUAAGCCCUGUAUGAAUGAACCCAAAGAAGCAAUGGCUAGAGGACUCACACAGCCUGAGGUUACACACUUGGAAUCCACAUGAGGGCCUGAGCCCUCGUUAAGCUGCUGAACAUCUAGCUGGCUGCACAGAUGCUGUGCUCUGAAUGCAGCACAGCUGUGGUGACCUU